This 275-nucleotide ribosomal RNA is filed under the name uncultured prokaryote. RNAcentral describes it as "partial 16S ribosomal RNA". It matches the Rfam family "Bacterial small subunit ribosomal RNA", at positions 524 to 800 of the family's 1533-position model. The record is from RNAcentral.
UACGUAGGGGCUAGCGUUAUCCGGAAUUACUGGGCGUAAAGGGUGCGUAGGCGGUCUUUCAAGCCAGAAGUGAAAGGCUACGGCUCAACCGUAGUAAGCUUUUGGAACUGUAAGACUUGAGUGCAGGAGAGGAGAGUGGAAUUCCUAGUGUAGCGGUGAAAUGCGUAGAUAUUAGGAGGAACACCAGUAGCGAAGGCGGCUCUCUGGACUGUAACUGACGAUGAGGCACGAAAGCGUGGGGAGCAAACAGGAUUAGAUACUCGGGUAGUCCCUGA